RNAcentral lists this ribosomal RNA (1849 nucleotides) under Salmonella enterica. RNAcentral's name for it is "partial 23S ribosomal RNA". It matches the Rfam family "Bacterial large subunit ribosomal RNA", at positions 890 to 2640 of the family's 2925-position model. Lineage: Bacteria; Pseudomonadati; Pseudomonadota; Gammaproteobacteria; Enterobacterales; Enterobacteriaceae. The record is from RNAcentral.
UCAUCUCCGGGGGUAGAGCACUGUUUCGGCUAGGGGGCCAUCCCGGCUUACCAACCCGAUGCAAACUGCGAAUACCGGAGAAUGUUAUCACGGGAGACACACGGCGGGUGCUAACGUCCGUCGUGAAGAGGGAAACAACCCAGACCGCCAGCUAAGGUCCCAAAGUCAUGGUUAAGUGGGAAACGAUGUGGGAAGGCCCAGACAGCCAGGAUGUUGGCUUAGAAGCAGCCAUCAUUUAAAGAAAGCGUAAUAGCUCACUGGUCGAGUCGGCCUGCGCGGAAGAUGUAACGGGGCUAAACCAUGCACCGAAGCUGCGGCAGCGAACGUAUCACUUAAAACGAUUCAGAAGCUUACGAUUGACGGAGCGAAGCGACGUCAAAGCGUAUACAAAGUCGAGUCGGUUUAAGGAUACGUUCGUUGGGUAGGGGAGCGUUCUGUAAGCCGUUGAAGGUGUGUCGUGAGGCAUGCUGGAGGUAUCAGAAGUGCGAAUGCUGACAUAAGUAACGAUAAAGCGGGUGAAAAGCCCGCUCGCCGGAAGACCAAGGGUUCCUGUCCAACGUUAAUCGGGGCAGGGUGAGUCGACCCCUAAGGCGAGGCCGAAAGGCGUAGUCGAUGGGAAACGGGUUAAUAUUCCCGUACUUGGUGUUACUGCGAAGGGGGGACGGAGAAGGCUAUGUUGGCCGGGCGACGGUAGUCCCGGUUUAAGCGUGUAGGCUGGUUUUCCAGGCAAAUCCGGAAAAUCAAGGCUGAGGCGUGAUGACGAGGCACCACGGUGCUGAAGCAACAAAUGCCCUGCUUCCAGGAAAAGCCUCUAAGCAUCAGGUAACAUCAAAUCGUACCCCAAACCGACACAGGUGGUCAGGUAGAGAAUACCAAGGCGCUUGAGAGAACUCGGGUGAAGGAACUAGGCAAAAUGGUGCCGUAACUUCGGGAGAAGGCACGCUGACACGUAGGUGAAGUGAUUUACUCACGGAGCUGAAGUCAGUCGAAGAUACCAGCUGGCUGCAACUGUUUAUUAAAAACACAGCACUGUGCAAACACGAAAGUGGACGUAUACGGUGUGACGCCUGCCCGGUGCCGGAAGGUUAAUUGAUGGGGUCAGCGCAAGCGAAGCUCCUGAUCGAAGCCCCGGUAAACGGCGGCCGUAACUAUAACGGUCCUAAGGUAGCGAAAUUCCUUGUCGGGUAAGUUCCGACCUGCACGAAUGGCGUAAUGAUGGCCAGGCUGUCUCCACCCGAGACUCAGUGAAAUUGAACUCGCUGUGAAGAUGCAGUGUACCCGCGGCAAGACGGAAAGACCCCGUGAACCUUUACUAUAGCUUGACACUGAACAUUGAGCCUUGAUGUGUAGGAUAGGUGGGAGGCUUUGAAGCGUGGACGCCAGUCUGCGUGGAGCCGACCUUGAAAUACCACCCUUUAAUGUUUGAUGUUCUAACGUGGACCCGUAAUCCGGGUUGCGGACAGUGUCUGGUGGGUAGUUUGACUGGGGCGGUCUCCUCCUAAAGAGUAACGGAGGAGCACGAAGGUUGGCUAAUCCUGGUCGGACAUCAGGAGGUUAGUGCAAUGGCAUAAGCCAGCUUGACUGCGAGCGUGACGGCGCGAGCAGGUGCGAAAGCAGGUCAUAGUGAUCCGGUGGUUCUGAAUGGAAGGGCCAUCGCUCAACGGAUAAAAGGUACUCCGGGGAUAACAGGCUGAUACCGCCCAAGAGUUCAUAUCGACGGCGGUGUUUGGCACCUCGAUGUCGGCUCAUCACAUCCUGGGGCUGAAGUAGGUCCCAAGGGUAUGGCUGUUCGCCAUUUAAAGUGGUACGCGAGCUGGGUUUAGAACGUCGUGAGACAGUUCGGUCCCUA